AUGCCGGGAGUUCCGACGGAUUUCGCCGAGCACAAGCUACAUGUUCGACCAGAUGCCAAGCCAGUCAAGCAGCCUCUCCGCCGCCUGUCAGAAGAGAAGAGGAGAAUUGUUGGAGAAGAGAUAGCCCAGCUUCUAGCAGCCGGUUUCCUUAUGGAAGUGUUCUUUCCAGAGUGGUUGGCCAACCCAGUCCUUGUGCUGAAGAAGAAUAACAAGUGGCGCAUGUGUAUUGAUUAUACCAGCCUCAACAAAGCUUGCCCAAAAGAUCCGUUUGCCUUGCCUUGGAUUGACCAAGUGAUAGACUCCACAGCCGGAUGCGAGCUGGUGAGUUUUUUUGAUAUUUACUCAGGGUACCACUAG
RNAcentral lists this ribosomal RNA (357 nucleotides) under Triticum aestivum (bread wheat). RNAcentral describes it as "partial small subunit ribosomal RNA". The record is from RNAcentral. Lineage: Eukaryota; Viridiplantae; Streptophyta; Magnoliopsida; Poales; Poaceae.